GGGGGGACGGAGAAGGCUAGGUGGGCCUGGCGACGGUUGUCCAGGUUCAAGUGCGUAGGCUUAAGAGUUAGGUAAAUCCGGCUCUUUUUAAGGCUGAGACACGACGUCGAGCACCUACGGGUGUGAAGUCAUUGAUGCCAUGCUUCCAGGAAAAGCCUCUAAGCUUCAGAUUGUAAGGAAUCGUACCCCAAACCGACACAGGUGGUCGGGUAGAGAAUACCAAGGCGCUUGAGAGAACUCGGGUGAAGGAACUAGGCAAAAUGGUACCGUAACUUCGGGAGAAGGUACGCUCUUGAUGGUGAAGUCCCUCGCGGAUGGAGCUGACGAGAGUCGCAGAUACCAGGUGGCUGCAACUGUUUAUUAAAAACACAGCACUGUGCAAAAUCGUAAGAUGACGUAUACGGUGUGACGCCUGCCCGGUGCCGGAAGGUUAAUUG
This 437-nucleotide ribosomal RNA is filed under the name Vibrio parahaemolyticus. RNAcentral's name for it is "partial 23S ribosomal RNA". It matches the Rfam family "Bacterial large subunit ribosomal RNA", at positions 1466 to 1883 of the family's 2925-position model. Lineage: Bacteria; Pseudomonadati; Pseudomonadota; Gammaproteobacteria; Vibrionales; Vibrionaceae. The record is from RNAcentral.